UACAGAGGUCUCAAGCGUUGUUCGGAUUCAUUGGGCGUAAAGGGUGCGUAGGCGGCGUGGUAAGUCGGGUGUGAAAUCUCGGAGCUUAACUCCGAAAUUGCAUUCGAUACUGCCGUGCUUGAGGACUGGAGAGGAGACUGGAAUUUACGGUGUAGCAGUGAAAUGCGUAGAGAUCGUAAGGAAGACCAGUGGCGAAGGCGGCUACCUGGACCGGUUCUGACGCUGAGGCGCGAAAGCGUGGGUAGCAAACAGG
Molecule: ribosomal RNA, 253 nt
Filed under: uncultured bacterium
Lineage: Bacteria
Description: partial 16S ribosomal RNA
Rfam family: Bacterial small subunit ribosomal RNA
Source: RNAcentral